UGCCGUGAACUCUGUGCAGUUUUCAA
Molecule: non-coding RNA, 26 nt
Filed under: Mus musculus (house mouse)
Lineage: Eukaryota; Metazoa; Chordata; Mammalia; Rodentia; Muridae
Source: RNAcentral